AAAUGACGGGUUUAGAAAUAGACUUUUCUUCCGACAUUUUUCAAGGUGCUGCAUGGUUGUCGUCAGCUCGUGCCGUGAGGUGUUAGGUUAAGUCCUGCAACGAGCGCAACCCCUGUCACUAGUUGCCAUCAUUAAGUUGGGGACUCUAGUGAGACUGCCUACGCAAGUAGAGAGGAAGGUGGGGAUGACGUUAAAUCAUCACGGCCCUUACGCCUUGGGCCACACACGUAAUACAAUGGCCGGUACAGAGGGCAGCUACACAGCGAUGUGAUGCAAAUCUCGAAAGCCGGUCUCAGUUCGGAUUGGAGUCUGCAACUCGACUCUAUGAAGCUGGAAUCGCUAGUAAUCGCGCAUCAACCAUGGCGCGGUGAAUACGUUCCCGGGCCUUGUACACACCGCCCGUCAAGCCAUGGAAGUCUGGGGUACCUGAAGUCGGUGACCGUAACAGGAGCUGCCUAGGGUAAAACA
RNAcentral lists this ribosomal RNA (468 nucleotides) under Chryseobacterium sp. ET-I9. RNAcentral describes it as "bacterial SSU rRNA". It matches the Rfam family "Bacterial small subunit ribosomal RNA", at positions 989 to 1469 of the family's 1533-position model. Lineage: Bacteria; Pseudomonadati; Bacteroidota; Flavobacteriia; Flavobacteriales; Weeksellaceae. The record is from RNAcentral.